Small nuclear RNA from Cercocebus atys (sooty mangabey), 104 nucleotides. The record is from Ensembl. Lineage: Eukaryota; Metazoa; Chordata; Mammalia; Primates; Cercopithecidae.
GUGCUCGCUUUGGCAACACAUAUACUGAAAUUGGAAGUAUACAGAGAUUGACGUGGCCGCAGAGCAAGGAUGACAUGCAAAUUCAUGAAACAGUCCACGCUUUU